Diceros bicornis minor is the source of this 625-nucleotide long non-coding RNA. RefSeq lists it as uncharacterized. The transcript is spliced from 3 exons. The record is from RefSeq and is a predicted model, not a curated record. Lineage: Eukaryota; Metazoa; Chordata; Mammalia; Perissodactyla; Rhinocerotidae.
GGUAGCUUGGAGGGGGGCUUUAUUUAGCACCCCCAUAACCAUCAUCAGCCUCUCAUCAUAAUUACCCCAAACAGAAUGCAACCCAGGUAGAACGCUGCGUGCUGUUCAAACUCAGGUAGAAGUCUGUCUCACUCUUUACAAACCACUCAGAAAUGGGACUUCGACGCUGGGCAGCUGGCCGUGGUGUCACUGAAUUGACAGGAGGAACAGAGGAGAGAGGCCUGCGGCCUCCCGCGGGGGUGCUGCUCGUUACCUCUCCCGCUCCUGCUCCAGCAGCCCAGAGCACGUGAGGCAGUGACCCCAAUCCUGUGAACUUACUUCUCUGACUCUCCAAGCCCCCUGCCAAGCCACCGCUACUCGGAAACAGCCUGGAGCAUGACUUCUUGCAACGCACUUUGAAAUGGAUAAAAUAUGGGCUCGUGGACAUCUGUCUGUUAUUUCCUGUACUCGCAGCUUUGUGCUUCUCUAUUACCAGAGAAUUCUAUGGAUGACGUCACUUUUCUCUGAAGAGAACAGACCAUCAGAGCUUUUCACUGACAUAAUUAAUUAUCUAGCUUGAUACUAGCUUGAUUCUGGGCCGGAAACUUCUCCAGGCACAAGCCCCCAACAGAAUGAACUCUACUGU